Molecule: long non-coding RNA, 2116 nt
Organism: Spinacia oleracea (spinach)
Lineage: Eukaryota; Viridiplantae; Streptophyta; Magnoliopsida; Caryophyllales; Amaranthaceae
Exons: 3
Source: RefSeq, a predicted model, not a curated record
UUCGUGUUACCAAUCCCUUCCUUAUUGUUCUGUGAAGAUUGCUUCGCAUUUUCGCCAUUACAGGCGCGUUGAGUUUGCCGGCGAGUGUUUGCCAUGGCGACGUAGGAGGGAACCCUCGGGCAAGAUUUGGAGAUGAUUUUUUUUGAAUAUGCUUUAGAAUUUUAAUUUAAAAACUCAGAUAUUUAUGUUAACCGACAUUUCAUCUCCCAAUAUUCUUCCUUACCAUUUCAUCUUCACUCAACUUCUCAAUAUAGGUUCCUCCAUUCCCUGUUUGUCGGUUACCCUCACUGAAACCACAUAUCAAGCCACCACUUCUCCUCUGCCGUCGACCUUACCAUCGCCGGUGACAUCUAACAUCGACGAUGUUCACUCGAUCAUACUCCCUUGUUCGGUAAUUUUAGACUCCCUUCAUCAAUUAGUUGGAAUCGAAUAAAGAUGAAAACCCCCAAAUUGAGUAAACCCUAACCUAUUAAAUCUUCUCUCUCUUUUGGAUUUAUCCGGUGUCGUCGGUCCUUCCAUUUGACGGAGGCGUCGUCCUUAUUCGUUGGUGCUACUAAUACUGUCGGAGAUGAUACCUUGCUUGUUGGUGUUGAUCUUUGUGUUCUUGUUCCUCUUCUCUGCUACUCGUUGCUAGCCCGAGAAUAAAUGGGGAACACAAAUAAAUCCAAUGAUACAGUGGCCUGAUAGAUCAUUUACUCUUGGUUUCGCGCAAGACUUAGCUUGGAAGCGUUCUGGUCUGUUGCCUAGGUCCUACUUUUGGUAGAAGUGAUCCUAGAGUACGGGCAGAACUAUGUGAUUAACGGAGGUAACAGGUUUGAAAAGCCUCAUCCUGAAUUCCCUAUUCCCGUAUCCGGUAUACUGAAUCUCUGUUGAUUUGUUCAAAUAUAGCCAUGUUAUCCUAUGAAAACUGAAACUCUUAAGCUGCAUAAUUGUUCCUUCCGACCCAAGGGAACCCUUAAAUUAUGAGCAAUUCUCCAGUCCAAUUAUAAGUUCAGUGGAUGCAAGGACAUUAAUAUAAUUGUCCAAACAUACAGUCGAAAACUCAGAGAUUCGCAGAUUGAGUUCUAAAAGGGAUAGAUGAGACUAACAAUAUAUGGAGUAAGUUAAAAAGAUACAAGAACGGUAAUCAUCCUGAGUUUUUUUGUUAGGUUUACUGCUACCUUUAUGUUCCCAGCCUAGCUCCUAAUAAGAAACUUUUAUCAAAACCAAGGUAGCUAACUGCUUCUUUUCAGUUAUUACAUUAGGAAGAAGAAGGACCAUAUUACCAGAAAAUUAUGUGAAGUAUCUAAAGCCAACAAUUGAGAAUUCCUCACUUGAAUGUCUUUGGUAUUCGUCCCUCCACACUAUCUUAAUCCCCAACCCCAACACGCAAAAUGGAAACACCGUAAUAUGCGUCUGUUAAGAACUUGUAAUAUGCGUCUGUUAAGCACUUGUAAUAUGCGUCUGUUAACCUCAAUGGUAUGAUGGAAACAUCUCUAGACCUGGGUGACGUAAAAAUGAAAGCAUUUGACUAAUUACGCUUCCUAAACAACUAUCUCUAUUUUCUGUGAUUGUGUUAGUAGUUCCAACUUUACCACACCAAAUUACCUGCUUCCACUACAGUCCUUAUACAACAUAUACAUUGUCCACUUCAUUACCUACAAAUUUCACAUCUUGAUUCACCCAAAUAAUCAUUCAUUGAUUCCCUUUUUCAAAAUUCAUGUUCUUACAUUUUUCCAAGCAAUUCAAAAACAUGCAUCAGUUUUCUCUACAAAUACCUUUAUCAUAAGGAAAUCAAGCAAACCCAAUACCCAUCAUUCUAUCCACCUGUAUAAUAAUAACAAUCAUCAAACAAAAAACACUCUUGACUAAGCUGAGUAUCAUUGCUGAACAAACCAAUUCGAUAGGAAAACACUGGAACUAUUACAGUAGAAACAAUAAUAAGGACCAACAACAAUCAAACACCAAUCAAAUAGAAACCCAAUUCCAAAACUCAAAAUAGUUGGAAAUAAAACCAGUACGGAGCUGUAUGAAAUUUCCAAAUUAAAAUUGGAAAUUAAACUUAUGGCCAAUAUUCUGAAAUCAAAUUUGGGAAAAUAAAACUCAAAAAUUCAAAAAACGGAAACAUACCUCUAUG